Molecule: long non-coding RNA, 847 nt
Organism: Solanum pennellii
Lineage: Eukaryota; Viridiplantae; Streptophyta; Magnoliopsida; Solanales; Solanaceae
Exons: 2
Source: RefSeq, a predicted model, not a curated record
AGAUGGUGAUUCUUUUUUCUAAAAUGAGAAGAAACAAUUUCCAAGUAGGAAAACCCUAAUUAUUUCCUCUUCCAUUUUCCUCCCUAGCAUCCACCACCCUAAACCCUCUUCUCCGACCAGCAGCGAAAUUCGGGAACAAUCACAUUCAUUUUACACUUUUAUCCAGCCAAGCAACCAUGAAAUCAAACCCCAAAGACCCCCUUUUUUUUUAACUCUUCUUCACUGUUAUCUCGCGAAAAACCCAAUUCCUACAAGCAUUGAGCUGACCCAACAACCAUGAAGCUACUGCUAGCUCACCACCUGUAAAUAACUGGACCGAAACUCCGACCAACGGAGCUAGCUGCUUCCCUGUCCCUCUUUCCUUUCCCGAUUUUUUCCUCCAUUUUUCCACAUCUCCAGAGAGCUUCAAGCUCCACAGCCAACUAAACCCAUUUCCCACCAAAACUCCAUUUUUCUCCUUUUUCCGAUAAAAAGGUCAUGGAAACAACACCCAAAUCAGAUCUCAAAACGAACUAGACCCCACCAAUUCUUCUUUCCCUAUUGGCGUUUCCGGCGAAAUCACAAGCUCAAACUGGUGGAGUGACCGACAACAACCUCACACAACAACGAGCAGCAGUCAUGAGCUGUCGAAACCCGCAAAAUAUCGACGAGUCUCUCACUUUCAGAUCUGCCCGGAGGAAUACAUAUUCCGGCACUUCGGAGUUGCUUCUGAUCGAAGCUAUUCCAAUGGAAAUCAAAUGUAUUUAAUAUUCAUUAUUGUGUAUAUUAUUGACGUUAGGAAAACCUUAAGCCGAUACUUAAAUUAUUAUUUUAUUUUAUUAUAUGUGUAUAUUUCAUGUUAACUGUA